AUGAUACUCCCUCCGUCCCGAAAUACUUGUCAUCAAAAUGGAUAAAAGGGGUUGUAUUGUAUCUAGACGUAUUUUAAUUCUAAAUACAUCUCUUUUUAUCCAUUUUGAUGACAAGUAUUUUCGGACGGAGGGAGUAUAUG
Triticum aestivum (bread wheat) is the source of this 140-nucleotide non-coding RNA. Lineage: Eukaryota; Viridiplantae; Streptophyta; Magnoliopsida; Poales; Poaceae. The record is from Rfam.